RNAcentral lists this transfer RNA (71 nucleotides) under Marmota monax (woodchuck). Its description in RNAcentral is "tRNA.Ala". It matches the Rfam family "tRNA". Rfam says of the family: Transfer RNA (tRNA) molecules are approximately 80 nucleotides in length. Their secondary structure includes four short double-helical elements and three loops (D, anti-codon, and T loops). The record is from RNAcentral. Lineage: Eukaryota; Metazoa; Chordata; Mammalia; Rodentia; Sciuridae.
GGGGUUGUGGCUCAGCGGUAGAGCACUCGCCUAGCAUGUGUGAGGCCCUGGGUUCGAUCUGCAGCACCACA